Long non-coding RNA from Pipra filicauda (Wire-tailed manakin), 2904 nucleotides. RefSeq lists it as uncharacterized. NCBI's taxonomy places the organism in Eukaryota, Metazoa, Chordata, Aves, Passeriformes, Pipridae. The record is from RefSeq and is a predicted model, not a curated record. The transcript is spliced from 2 exons.
AGAGGGCCCUACGGAGGGAGAGUGCCCGCGGCCCACCCACACUCCCCCCUCCCCCUCCAAAAAAAAGUGCACCCUAAAAUACACAAAAAGGCACAGAAAAAGGCGUUACAUCCCACAGCACCCCUCCAGGCUCCAUUUUGGUCCUGCCUCCCCAGCCACCCAGGUACUGACCCCAGUAAAGGCCAGGUGAUACCGCGUUAAAAUAAUGGCAGCUGGAUGUGAGUGGACAUUUGUUGAGUCUCUCCUGUCACAGUUUUCGAUCUCCAUCAUCAUAUAACCAUAGAAGAGUUACAGUUGGAAAAGACCUCUAAGAUCAUCAAAUGCAACUGUUGACCCAUCAUUAUCAUGUUCACCACUAAACCAAGUCACUAAGUGCCACAUGCUUUUUUGAAUGCUUCCAGGGGCAGUGAUUCCAACACUUCCCUGGGUCUAUGUGUCAGAGAGUAGACUUCAGUUUGUACCUCAUCAUUCUGGGAGAUGGAGGGGUUUCUGUCCCUCCCUGGGGACAGUCCUCUCAGUUUUACACCUGAUUCUGCUUUCAAAUGUAACUAUUCUCCCCACAUCCUCCCAAGAAAAGGCAUGGAUUUAACACACCUUGAAACCCUCUUGACAAGUAACUGAGCUGUCCUGAGGUUGCUUGACUGCAUAAUGCAAAGGCAGCUUCUCUCACAUGCACUUGCAGCUGGAAGAAUUUCUCCCACUUUUAAGACCUCUACAGCUGUGCACAAACAAGGAAAUCUUUAUAAGAGGAGUGGACACAGUCAUAAACUUGAACAAAUACAGCAGCAGUCUCUAUACGCAAAUAAAAACCCCUAUCCUCUCCUAUUAAGUCCAACACUAAUUUACUGAAGCAUUUUCCCAUCAAGCUGAAGUAUUUUCCUACAUCAUUUCACCCUGAUGACAAACCCCACUCACUAUUCAGACAGCAAGUUUGGAUUUUGGGGAAACUUUAUAGAGAAAAGAAGCACUUCCCUGGAAUACAGUCAUCUCUUCUGCCUCUAUCAGCCUGCAAAGUCUUCAGAAAACACAGAUUCUUAUAACACAGCCCUUUUUCCAUGCAAAAUGAUGCCUUUGGGACCAAUGUCUCUUCUUGUACAAGUUCUCUGUGGAAUAUCUCACAAGUUUUAGGAGCAAUUGAUUUUUAUUACACAGCCAAGAAACAUUCAUGCUUUCCUCAAAACCUCUUGAGAAUCGGUUCCCCAGCAGAAAUGUGUGUCCUUAUAUAACUACAUUGAGUUACCAAGUGUCUCUAAACUAAUUGUGUGUCACAAAGUACAAAUAUUCUUGUGUGAUGAUAAAAGACCAUAUGGAAUUGUCUACUCCUUUUCUGCAGGAAUGUGUGUAUGUGUGUAUGCAAGAUGACAUGAGCUUACCCUAAGGCAUGGGGGGAAGUAAUUACGUAAAAUAUUCCAAAUGCCAGGUAUGUCAUCCCUAUUGGUAAUAUGUCAUGUGUCGCCCUGUGAAGAUACAAAUGAGAGAUAGAUCUUUUGAGUUUGAUAUAAUAUAUGUGCAAUGAAUAUGUAUUAUGACUAUGAUUUAUAAAAUGUAGUAAUGCUCUUAGGAAUGUUCUGGACUGAACAAACUUCACUGUCUGCAGAAAAAAGUGCUAAUCAAGAGAUACCAUGCACAGGUCACUGCACAGAAUCUUUCAAUUGGGCAAGUAAUUCAUUGACUAUAUGUCCAUUUUACAUCUGAGACCCAGUUCUGAAAAAAAUGGAAGGAAUAAGGUAAGAUGUUACAGCCUUGUCUGGCUGCAUUCCUGUUGCAUAAAAGAACCAAAAAGAAUGAGGAAGACAGCUCCGGAGCAAUGCAGGGAAAAAGAGACAGAGCUGAAAGGCAAAACCGGAGGUUGGAUUUCAUACCUGGCUCUGUAUGUUAAAUGGGACCAGAAAAUGUCCAAAUGCCAGGACAGCAGGAGACAUCCUUUGACCUUGGAAAAACUCUUAUUGGCACCACACGUCUAAUUAUUUGUAGUACAAUAACAACAUUACGAAGAGAAAGGAAAAAGAAAUAGGAUUAAGAAGUUCAAAGCAAACCAAAAAAUCUUGCAUUUCUGAAAAUGUAUAAACCAGACCUUUUUGUCAGGGCACAAUCAUGCUCUCUGCAUCUAGACAAGACGACUAUUGUAUCCAGGGCUGAGUCCAUGGAAAUAUGUCUGGGCUUCACAUCUCAGCUGAGAAACUGAAGAGACUAUUGGGAAACUCACAACUUUAGUGCAGAAAAUUCAGGAUUGGUCAUAGUCUGAAGAAGGUUUUUAAAGCUAUUUUGUUUCUUUGACAGAAAAUCAGGGAAGAAAGACAAUAAGAUAGGAGGAGGGAAAGUUUGAGCACAGGAUUGGGAACAAAACGCUUCUACUUUGAAGCCAUGAUAUCUUAUUCUUCAAUAGCUUGGCACAAGUCAGUAGGUCAUUCUACCUUGCCUGUCUCCCUCAGUGCAGGAGGGAGCAGAACACUGUGGAGCAUUGGACAAUCUGAAAUACCAAGGAAGCUUGUCCGUGGAAGAGUACGCAUGACUCCAGCAUGGUCAGUGGAACAUCACAGAUUUACUGCAGGCCUACAGCCUAGUGUGAGAGGCCCUAAAAAUGCUGUUCUGCUUGGGUAUGGGGAUGUACAUGUAAAAGUUUUUGGUAAAACCUGCACUGCAUUACCUAUUUAGGUGGAGGAAAAUAGUAACACUGCCUUCCCCAAAGAAACAGCUCAUAGCAAUUUGGGACCUGAUCCUUAAUCCAAUAAAGUAAAAAAUAUUCCUGCUGUUUCAUUUGUUGCAGGUACUUGGUAUUAUUUUUGUUACUGUCCAAUUGUUAUUAAUUCUUUUACAAUCUUUCUACUCUCUUACCCUGGUUCAUUUGUCAAUACUUUAUAUGUAACACUCCUAGUAACAUAGCACAAUAAAAAUCAAAAUAUA